UAAGAGGUGUGCAUAUAGUAUGGGAUGUCCAUGAUAAGAACUGACUUUUGUUUUUUUCUACUUAUUAGAAAUUGGAUCUUUACAGCCCUUUAUAGUGUAAUAAUGUCCCGUAUCUUAAAAAUGCUGCAGUAAAAUGGUUUGAUAUGAGGUGUGCAAAUAGUAUGGGACAUCCCUUAUAGGAACAGACCAUUGUUUUUUUCUACUUAUUAGAAAUGGGAUCUUUACAGCCAUUUAAAGUGUAAUAAUGUCCCAUAUCUCGAAAAUGCUGCAGUAAAAUGGUUUGAUAUGAGGUGUGCAUAUAGUAUGGCAUGUCCUUUAUAAGAACUGACCAUUGUUUUUUUCUACUUAUUAGAAAUUAUGUCUUUAUAGCCCUCCAAAUCACCAUUUGGACCCAUAUCUCAAAAAUGCUGCAGUAAAAUGGUUUGAUAUGAGGUGUGCAUAUAGUAUGGGAUGUCCCUGAUAAGAACUGACUUUUGUUUUUUUCUACUUAUUAGAAAUGGGAUCUUUAUAGCCCUUUAAAGUGUAAUAAUGUCCCAUAUCUUGAAAAUGCUGCAGUAAAAUGGUUUGAUAUGAGGUGUGCAUAUAGUAUGGGACAUCCCUGAUAAGAAC
This is a long non-coding RNA of Carassius gibelio (silver crucian carp), 609 nucleotides long. RefSeq lists it as uncharacterized. NCBI's taxonomy places the organism in Eukaryota, Metazoa, Chordata, Actinopteri, Cypriniformes, Cyprinidae. The transcript is spliced from 3 exons. The record is from RefSeq and is a predicted model, not a curated record.